RNAcentral lists this long non-coding RNA (315 nucleotides) under Setaria viridis. Its description in RNAcentral is "long non-coding RNA (SVIR_LNC000397)". Lineage: Eukaryota; Viridiplantae; Streptophyta; Magnoliopsida; Poales; Poaceae. The record is from RNAcentral.
GUUUGGUGGGUAUAAGUCCUUGAUGUUGGUUUGGUAGGCCCAUGGAUCCAAGUGAGGUUCACCCUAACUCUCCAAUGCAACCAAUAUGAAUUCAACGCUCCUUGAUGCUUCUAUGUGUGUUUCCUUGCAUUUGACCAAAGGUGAGCUGGAGAUGUGGCCGAGGCCUAGGUCAGCCAAACCUUGGAGGGUCGGCCGACCUACCUUUUGUGGUGGAUGGCCCGUGACUUAGUUCCCUUGGGUCCUGUAAUGAGUAUUGAGCCUUUAGGCAAAAGUUGAUGGUGAUUGGCCUUGGGUUUGGGUUGGCCGACCCUACCC